AAAGAAAAAGUGUACAUCCAUAAAAAUGGCACCUGUGGCCAGGCACAGUGGCUCAUGCCUAUAAUCCCAGCAUUUUGGGAGGCCAAGGCGGGUUCCUCUUAUUUUAAGGUCAGCUGAUAUUAGCAACCCUAAUUCUCUUUUGCCUUAUAACUGACAUAUUCGCAGGUACACCAUAAGAUCCUAAUGCAGCCAAGGCUAACAAAUAUAUUUUAAGAAACACUCAAAAAAAAUUUAAUAAGAAAACAAAAGUCAGCCACAAUUCCAUCAACCCAAAAUAACCAGUGUGAAUAUUUUGGUGUCCCAGCUACUCAGGAGGAUGAGGCAGGAGAAUGGUGUGAACCGGAGAGGCGGAGCUUGCAGUGAGCCAAGAUUGUGCCACUGCAGUCUAGCCUGGGCAACAGAGGGAGACUCCAUUACAAAAAAAAAAAAAAAAGGAAAGAGUCAGAUAAAGGCAGCAAAAUGCAGUCUCAUUCUCACCCCCAGGCUGCUGGUGUGACUUGAAGAAACCCUGGUGAAACUAGACUUACAUUUGUCCCAAUUUCUUCCAUCGCUUUCUCAUAGCUCCACUUUUAUAACACCCAAUCUCUUAUUCUUUCUUUUCAUCCUGCAGCACCCUCUGCAUAUAGAAAAGCUCAUAAGUCAUUCACAACCAGAGUUGCAGAUGUCAGUCCGCUGGUUGAAAUCAUUUUGCGGAAGUUCAAUGAAAGCCAAAUAUUUGUCUGAAAGACGGGCUUUUCAGUUUAAUUGCUGGUGGUUACAAUUAUCUCCACAGGCACUCAGGUUAUUUUAACCUACCGGUGAAUUCUCAAUCCACCAUUACACAAAUGUCAACCGUUACUGUGGAUGUGUCUAUUAGAGAAAUUUAAAGUAGCAUCUCCGUGAUCAUGCGCCUCUCUGGCGUGCACUUGGACCUUGAGGUCGGUGCUAAGAGUUACUGGAGGCAGAGCGAGGGCCAGGGCCAGGCAGGCCCAUUUGCAUCCCAUCAAGCCUCCACACAGAGAAGAUUGCUGGUCUUGGCAAGUAUUAAAAACACAGAGUUUGUAAAUGCUGUUUUCUGUGAUCACGGCAAUAUGGUGGCCGAGAGGGAGAGGUGGACUUUUCAAAGCAGAUUUGUGCGAUCUAAGCUAAGUGCCAAUCACAGCGGCUUCCUCCUGGCUGCUGAGUCCUG
Molecule: long non-coding RNA, 1168 nt
Filed under: Homo sapiens (human)
Lineage: Eukaryota; Metazoa; Chordata; Mammalia; Primates; Hominidae
Description: non-protein coding lnc-C10orf90-4:1
Source: RNAcentral